Molecule: small RNA, 29 nt
Filed under: Bombyx mori (domestic silkworm)
Lineage: Eukaryota; Metazoa; Arthropoda; Insecta; Lepidoptera; Bombycidae
Description: ovarian small RNA-26232
Source: RNAcentral
UCAUGCAAACAGCCGUCAACUGCCGACUU